This 27-nucleotide non-coding RNA is filed under the name Drosophila melanogaster (fruit fly). Lineage: Eukaryota; Metazoa; Arthropoda; Insecta; Diptera; Drosophilidae. The record is from RNAcentral.
UCAGCGAGUGCAGUUUGCUCUUCCAAA